AUUAUAUGAUGAGAACAAUUUUAAAUGUAUCCUUACAAAUGCUCCCAUGCUUUUGAAAUGGUUUCUGUCUUCUGCUGUUGGAAAUUGGUAAUCUUUCCUCUUAAGGC
This is a small nucleolar RNA of Sorghum bicolor (sorghum), 107 nucleotides long. It matches the Rfam family "Plant small nucleolar RNA R71". From Rfam's summary of the family: R71 is a member of the C/D box family of snoRNAs containing the C (UGAUGA) and D (CUGA) box motifs. Multiple nearly identical copies of this snoRNA have been identified in Arabidopsis, and it is thought to function as a 2'-O-ribose methylation guide for 18S ribosomal RNA. The record is from Rfam. NCBI's taxonomy places the organism in Eukaryota, Viridiplantae, Streptophyta, Magnoliopsida, Poales, Poaceae.